AUUUCCCUCCCAAAAAUCCCAAAAACCAAUUUCCCUCCUUUCCCAAGCAUUCGGAACCCCUCCCCAGUCUUCUCCCUCUCACCCUCUCUCAUGUAGGCGAAGAUUUCUGCGCCAAAGUUAGUCGACUUCACCGGUCUCGAUUCCAUCCUUUCCGAUGAUCGCUACUGGUACAGCUUGCAAGUCGGAGAAUUUUAGAGCUGAAGUGCAUUUUUGUUAUACUGGAAAGUCGAACGUGGUAAAAGUUUAAAAUCCAUUUCAUCAUUUAUAAUGGGAAAGCUUAACUCUCUUUUUUGUUUAGGUAUAGAUAGAUCUCUGCUGGAAUUAAUAUCAUUGGGAUGUUGUCAUACUUCUUAAAUAGUCUUCCACAAUUUAAGGAUAAGAAUUGGUGGCUCAUUAUACAAUGUUGGAAACCUUGAAAUCUCCUUGUAUCCAUUUCAAAAGAUGAGCUCAGGGUUAUUUGGUUUUACAAAGGGAUGCAUAAAUAUGAACAGGUAGGAUGAGCUAAAUCAUUUAUUCACCGAGACAAAGUUUUUGUUGUUGCAGCUUCUUGUACUCGGUAGUUGUUAGGGAGGUUGUCUUGAUAAAGCCAUUGAAUAAAAUCAUUUCAAAGUAGUCAUCCUCCUACAUUAACCCCUUUGCUUCCGUUUUCUCAGGGAAAUUAUCUAUAUGGACUCACAUUUGUUACGUUUGUUCCCUAUAUAUUGGGAAGGUCAGUUCUCAUUUCCUCAAUGGAAGUAAAAUUUUUAUCUCUAUCCCGUUUUCAUUAUUAGAGAAGAUGUUCACAUCCAUAAAUGAUUUUAUCAGAUACUUGUAUAAGAUUGUCAUACAAAUUUGGUGUUAAAUUGAUAACAUUGCCAGUUGAAACAUUAUGAACAUUUUUUUAGGUUUAAUUAUAUUUUUCGUGAUUGUUGAGCUUGCAGUUUAGGAUUCAACUUUCAUUUUGAGAGGUAUAGUUGAAAUUAUCUCAAUAUCUUUGAUCUAUAUAUACUUUGUAGGAUUGCAAUAAGGCAUUAUUAGUUCUUUGGUUCAAGUCUCAUUAUUUAGUGUAAGGAAAGGUUCUAAACCUUUUAGUUUGCUUUUGAGUUUCUAUUCCUAAGUUGCGAUUUUCAUUUGGAUUUUAACCAUUUAUUUAUUAUACUAAGUUGCGAUUUUCUUUUCGAUUUUAUCCAUUUAUUUAUCAUACUAAGAUGUGAUUUCUUUUGGAUUUUAUCCAUUUAUUUAUAUUUUCCGAUCUCUUUAACAGAACAGAAAUUAGUUAGCAUUUAGUUAAUUAGUUAGCAUAAUUAGUUAGCAUUUAAUUGUAAAUAACUACUUGUAGAAUCGAAUACAUUUAUCUUUUUUUUUCCUUCUAAUUGCUUCGAUUGAUUUUGUAUUCUCUGAUGAACCUUUGAUAAUGAGAAUCAUCAAUCAUGAUUGCGACACUGGAUGUAGGGUAUAUAUGCUGAACUACUUUAAAAUUCUCGUGUCCUUUUCUCAUCUUUAAUCUCUGCAUUUUUAUUGAGUUGUUCAUCCAUAUUCUUCUUUUCUAAUGGUUUUGUGAUUGCAUGUGUAAUUUUUGUUUGAAGAAGACAAGAAAACUUGGUGAACAUUUUGAUUUGCUUACAAAUUGUUGAAGUAUGAAUUCUCAAGUCUUAACAUUUUUAUUUGUCAUGUAUAUAGUAUAAAGUCUAGUUGGAUAAUUGUGUGGUUUAAAGUUUAGUUGGAUAAUUGUGUGGCUAUCCUGCAACAAAGAUAGUAAAUUAAGACUUAGUGUUUAUAUUUGUGUCAUGCAUAUAGUUUAAAAUCUAGUUGGAUAAUUGUGUGGCUAUCCUGCAGCAAAAAUAGCCAAUUAAGACUUAGUUUUUAUAUGUGUCAUACAUAUAGUAUAAAGUCUAGUUGGAUAAUUGUGUGGUUUAAAGUUUAGUUGGAUAAUUGUGUGGCUAUCCUGCAACAAAGAUAGACAAUUAAGACUUGGUGUUUAUAUUUGUGUCAUGCAUAUAGUUUAAAAUCUAGGUAGAUAAUUGUGUGGCUAUCCUACAGCAAAGAUAGCCAAUUAAGACUUAGUUUUUAUGUGUCAUACAUAUAGUAUAAAGUAUAGUUGGAUAAUUGUGUGGUUUAAAAUUUAGUUCGAUAAUUGUGUGGCUAUCUUGCAGUAAAGAUAGUCAAUUAAGACUUAGUAUUUAUAUUUGUGUAAUGCAUAUAGUUUAAAAUCUAGUUGGAUGAUUGUGUGGCAAUCUUGCAGCAAAGACAACCAAUUAAUACUUAGUUUUUAUAUGUCAUACAUAUAGUAUAAAGUCUAGUUGGAUAAUUGUGUUGUUUAAAGUUUAGUUAGAUAAUUGUGUGGCUAUCCUGCAGCAAAGAUAGUCAAUUAAGAUUUAGUGUUUAUAUUUGUGUCAUGCAUAUAGUUUAAAGUCUAGUUGGACAAUUGUGUGGUUAUCCUGCAGCAAAGAUAGUCAAUUAAGACUUAGUUUUUAUAUUUGUGUCAUACAUAUAGUUUAAAGUCUAGUAGGAUAAUUGUGUGACUAUCCUGCAGCAAAGGUAGCCAAUUAAGAUUUGGAUAAGUAGAUUGUUUUUGCUUGUUAUUGUUCAACAUCUGUGUUGUUCAUAAAUCAGUUUUAUUUUGGUAAAGUCUUUAGUAUUUGGAGAAUCUAAAAAGCCGUUUGGUAUUGUCUUUUUGCUUCUUUGUUUUUGUGAAAUAAGGGUUUUGUGUGAGUGAUUUGAGGGAAAGAAAAAGAUCUUAGGUGCUUAUUGUGAUUGGUAACUCUCUGUUGAGGCACUAAAUAAAGGCUAUGAGAGUGUGUUAAUUAUAGAAAUAAGGUUUGCUUAUCAUCUGUUUAUAUUUUGAAAUUGUUAAAACUGAUUACAUAGUGGAUGAUCUAAAAUGGAUUUAGAUCCUUUAUGGAUUGGACCAAAAAUUUGUCUAUGAUAUCAAAAAAUUUGUUCUCAAGUUAUCGUUGACUUAUUUGGUAUAUCUAAAUUUACACUUGGCUUUUAAGAGAAUUUACACUUGGUUUAUUUGUUCUCAAGUUAUUGUUGGUUUACUUGGCAAACUACGCAACAAACUACAUAUUUUUUGCUUAACAUAAUGGUAGAUCUCUCUUGAAGCAUUAAUGGAAGAUAGUUAAAGGAUGUUUCUAUUGAAAGAUACCUAUAUCAUUCAUGACUCUUUCCCAUGCUUGACAAUGGUGGGAUAGUUAAAGGUCCCUUUCCAAUGCUCGUUGAUUUUCAGUGUUUUUAUUUUUGGUUUGUUUGAUUUACGACCUUCCAAAUUUAUAUCAUGUGGGUUGAUUUUUUAUAUUUGUCCAGGAUUAAUGUUUGUUGUAACGAGCAUUUCAUAUUCGUAUAUUUAUAUAGUUGUCGUUCUUUUUAUCUAUAUCAUUGAUUUAUCGUAAUGAUUUUUAGCAAAGUUGUGUGACUACGUAUUUCACUAAUAUAAUGCAUGUUGGAGUUAGAAAACAAAUGAGAGUUAAUAUUAAUAUUUCUUAAUUGUUCAUUUUAUUUUGUUGAAAGAGUAGCUUUUGGGAGCAAUUGAGAAUGGAGAAUGUAUAGGGAAGAGUUUUAGCAUAGUUUCGACAUGUACGAGGUUGAUGUAAUGUGAAUAUAAAUCAUUA
This is a long non-coding RNA of Momordica charantia (bitter melon), 3590 nucleotides long. RefSeq lists it as uncharacterized. Lineage: Eukaryota; Viridiplantae; Streptophyta; Magnoliopsida; Cucurbitales; Cucurbitaceae. The record is from RefSeq and is a predicted model, not a curated record.